AACCUAAGGGCGCAAUGAAAGUGAAGGCCCUCCUCCAGGUGGGCUCAGGUGGGAUCCCGGCCCCCGAGGCCGGGCGCACCACCGGCCCGUCUCGGUCACAACUGACGAGGCGGAGCGAGAGCGUACGCGUUGGGACCCGAAAGAUGGUGAACUAUGCCUGAGUAGGUCGAAGCCAGAGGAAACUCUGGUGGAGGACCGUAGCGAUUCUGACGUGCAAAUCGAUCGUCAAACUUGG
Molecule: ribosomal RNA, 235 nt
Filed under: Bispira porifera
Lineage: Eukaryota; Metazoa; Annelida; Polychaeta; Sabellida; Sabellidae
Description: partial 28S ribosomal RNA
Rfam family: Eukaryotic large subunit ribosomal RNA
Source: RNAcentral